This is a long non-coding RNA of Chinchilla lanigera (long-tailed chinchilla), 840 nucleotides long. RefSeq lists it as uncharacterized. The record is from RefSeq and is a predicted model, not a curated record. The transcript has 3 exons. Lineage: Eukaryota; Metazoa; Chordata; Mammalia; Rodentia; Chinchillidae.
UUGGGUGUCUGAACUGCCAGGCCUCAGAAGGAUAAGGAAACGGUCCUUAUGGAGGGAAAAACAUCUUCUGGUCCCCAGUGGUUCCAAGGAAUGGCUUGUCCCCUUAUAUUCUUGGCUCCUGCCAUGCCAUCGUACACAACACUGAGAGAAAUACAUAUGCAGGUGCUGGGGAACACAGAUAUUUAGAAUGCUUUCAUUUAUUAGUGCUACUGCUUCAACUUAUCAACUCAAAUCUUGGUUUAAAGCCACAAGAUUUAUUACCUGCUCAAAUACCUGUCCAUGUUGGAGGUAGGAGCUCGACCUGUAGGAUCUUCUACCAUGGAGGAUCAGAAAAGGACACCAGGGAAGGAAACACUGCAUCUUAUAGAUGCCAACCCCAGAGUGACACCCUUCACAUUAUCUCACGUAGCACUGGCCAAAGUGACAGUCACACAGCCGCCCUCGCCUUCCCUGGGAGGAAGAAGCUCAAUACUACGGCACACCUGUCUUCUCCGCCCACUCUUUGUGUGACCGUGGGCAAGUCAUUCAUUUUCCAGUGCCUUGAUUUCCUUGUUUGCUGAGAAGUGAGGUACAGCAACCCUUUGCUCAGAGGGUUGUUCUGAGAAUCAAAUGUGAGAUAUACAAAAGUGUUAGUUAUCACGAUGAUCUCAUCCAUCCUUAGACAAUAUAAAGUAUUAUUUAUAUGUAUGUGUUUAACACUGAUAACUUACUGCAUGUCCAAUGCUAGUAGAAAUUCAUGAUCUAAUGAAAAACAAAAUUUAUAUGUGUAUAUAAGGAUAGCUGGAAUAGGCAUAUUGCUGGUUCUGCAGUUUAUCGAGAGGAACAGUUAAUGCUUAAAAU